AGCAAGACCACAUAUUGCCUCAGACAAGAAACUUUCUUUCUGUGCUUGAUUCUUCCAGAUACAGCUGUGUCUUGCUCCUAAGAUCCACCCAGCACACGAGAGUACAGAGGCCACGAAGAGAAGGAGCUUGUCACAAAGCGCCAAUGGGAACUGACUGCCCAACCCCGAGACCUACCAAUGCACCAGCUGGUGAGCACCAGAGGCUGGCCCAGUGCCCACAGCCAAGCUCACAUGGUGUGGCCCAUGGUGCCUUCACAGGAAGGGCCUGAGGGCUGGCUGCAGUCAGUUUUUUUUUUUUUUUUUUUCUUCAAACUAGAGGGGAACAUUUUUCCUUGGUAAUCCCCUGGUGCUGAAGUCACUCAGGUGAGCCUCGGUGAAAAGGCCUCAGACACUCAGCAAGGCCCAGGGAGGAUGAGCUCAUUUCUGGCAGCCGGGCUGGCAUGCCCCAGACUGCAGCAACAUGCUCUCCCGCCCAUGCCUGCUCCUGUGCCAGGGCGUGUCCUGCCAUCAGCAGGCCACUGGCCCCCAAAUCCACCACAGAUGGCCAACGGGAUGUCUGUGACAUGCCAGUGCCUCCUCCCACCCAGGAGGCUUGCUUCAGGGUCCCCUACUGGCCUAGACCCACGUGAAAUCAGCUGUUCCAUGCAAAGACAUGCAGAACCAAGAGGAGAGGUGCAGGUAAGUUAUUAGGAGCACGGGUUCCACAAUGGUGUGGCCUUGCUACUGCCCCUGGCUGCUGUUUGUGCCUUCUGGACAGCGACUUCAACUCCUCCUCAGUUAACGAGCACAGUGGCAGAUCCCCAUGCCAUGGGUUCCAUGCAUGGCAGUCACCAUCACCACACUAAGUCCAAGAGCAAGAACUCUGCCAAGACACUAUAUCAUCAAAAGCAAAUGGUUUGGGUAAUGCAAACUCCAAAGUGAACCUAAAGUUUAUGCUUUGGUUAGGAAUACAGUGGUCAAAGAACUGAAGCCAUAUGAAGGUGCCGUGAGCAUGCUGCCUGACUCAUCUCAGAGGGGCUCCUGGCUGCCAGGAGCUAUGCUGUAGCUGGUCUCACCUCUGUCAAGGGAGGCAGAGCCUGAUGGGAGUGCCCCACUGUGCCUCAGAAUGAAAGUUCACUGGUCUGCAGAGAGGACGGAAAGGGGGAAGCUAAAUGUCCUGUGGAAAAGUGGUAUAGAGGCCUGGCUGGGCAAACCAGGCCCUGAGCUCACUCCUGGUGAUAUACUCUCAGCAGCCCAAGUGGCAGAGGGGGCAAGGAGUGCCUGCUACCUGAGGCCUCUGCUUGGGAAUUUCCCAGCAGGAGAGCCAGGCUGGGGCUGGCAGGCAAGGACACGCAGUUGGGAGGGGUGCAGCCGGCAGCACCUGGGAAUGCAGCACCAUGCUUACAGAGACUCCACAUUGCACUGGAGGAGGCUCUGCUCCACGGUGUAUGCCCUCCAGGCAUCACAGGGGCCCUCCCAGGACCAACCCAGCCAGUGUCAGGGGUCCUCGCUCUCUGCCAGCUGGGUCACACUGCGGCCCCUGGGUGUUUUCAGAAUGCCAAUCACAUUCUCAAGCUUAACUGUCUCUAUGGCACUUUAGUGGUGAAUGGCAGGGCUGCUCGCCAUUCCCUGGAGGAAGUAAGCCUGACGGCAGUUCCCACCAAUAAGCUUGGCAUAGGCAUCACAUGCUCCUGGGUCCCCCCUUGUAUAAGCUUUGUGGGGGGCCAGACGUCCACCUGCAGGUCCAGCCGUUCCUCAUCACAACAGACAGCCCACCACAGGGACAGCCACAACUUAGCUCCAUGGUUCUGCUCCCAGUGACAUGUGGUGAAUGUCUGGAGACAUUCUAGUUGUCACAAGUUGGGGGACACUCCUGGUAUCUAGAUGGCAGAGGCCAGGAGCACCAAUAAACAGCUCUCCAUUUACAGAUGCCCCAGGAAAGAAAUGUCCAGCCCAGAAGGUCAGCCGUGCUGAGGGUAAGAACCCUGGCCUCACAUGCACGUUUCCAGCAGGUUGGAAGGCGGUUCCUACAGAGUCAGGCUGUUCAAAGGCCUGAAUCUCAUUUGCAGUCUUGACAUUAGAACAUGGGCUGCAACUGGAGAAGGGAGAUAAAGCCAAAGGGAAGAUUUUUGCAAAACAAGCUGCAGAUGAGCAUGGAGAAGAGCAGAGCCACACACACGGAGUGGAAAAGUACACUGAUCUUCCCAGUGGCUCUAAAGCAACAACCAAAAGACAAAAAACCACCAGCAUCCGUCUUCUUCCUUUACAGCCAGACAAAUCUCCCUGGCUCUAAUGGGUUUCAGGCAGAGAUGGUUUCCUGAGGGUAGUGCCAGUCAGAAUGGGUGGGGCAGGCCCCGGAGCUCUAAUGGCCCCAAGCUGAGUUUCCCAUGGCUUAGCACAUGGUCCUGCGUGUGGCACGCACAGCCCCAGCUUGUGCACUGUGUGGUCGUACUCUCUCCAAGUACUCUCUGCCUAGGAGCCUGCUCCAUCCUGCUUCAUUAGUCUCUGAAGCUGAGAGAAUCCCCUUGUUUGUUUCUGCAGACAUUCGCUUGGCUUUAGCACUCACUGCUCCCCAGACCACAAAGGUAUAUGGGUUUAGUAAAACCCGUCAUAAUGAUUUUUCUCUAUCAAAAACAGCCCUAACAAUUUUUAUACAACUUUUAAAUAAAAAAAAAUGGAAAACACAAUAAAUAAAUCCUCUAAA
Cebus imitator (Panamanian white-faced capuchin) is the source of this 2683-nucleotide long non-coding RNA. RefSeq lists it as uncharacterized. The transcript has 2 exons. Lineage: Eukaryota; Metazoa; Chordata; Mammalia; Primates; Cebidae. The record is from RefSeq and is a predicted model, not a curated record.